RNAcentral lists this ribosomal RNA (396 nucleotides) under uncultured bacterium. RNAcentral's name for it is "bacterial SSU rRNA". It matches the Rfam family "Bacterial small subunit ribosomal RNA", at positions 505 to 898 of the family's 1533-position model. The record is from RNAcentral.
GUGUCAGCAGCCGCGGUAAUACGUAGGGGGCGAGCGUUGUCCGAAGUUACUGGGCGUAAAGCGCGCGUAGGCGGGGGAUUAAGUGAGAGGUGAAAGGCUGAGGCUCAACCUCAUGCAGUGCCUCUCAUACUGGUCUUCUUGAGGGCGGUAGGGAGAAGUGGAAUGGCUGGUGUAGCGGUGAAAUGCGUAGAUAUCAGUCGGAACACCGGUGGCGAAGGCGGCUUCUUGGGCCGUUCCUGACGCUGAUGCGCGAAAGCUGGGGGAGCGAACGGGAUUAGAUACCCCGGUAGUCCCAGCCGUAAACGAUGGAUACUAGGUGUUGGGGGUAUCGACCCCUCCAGUGCCGCAGCUAACGCAUUAAGUAUCCCGCCUGGGGAGUACGGCCGCAAGGUUGAA